GGGNGGGGAANAGAGAGCUUAACCAUGCAAGUCGAACGGUGAACCAGGUGCUUGCACUUGGGGAUCAGUGGCGAACGGGUGAGUAACACGUGAGCAACCUGCCCCUGACUCUGGGAUAAGCGCUGGAAACGGCGUCUAAUACUGGAUACGAACCGGAACCGCAUGGUUACUGGUUGGAAAGAUUUUUUGGUUGGGGAUGGGCUCGCGGCCUAUCAGCUUGUUGGUGAGGUAAUGGCUCACCAAGGCGUCGACGGGUAGCCGGCCUGAGAGGGUGACCGGCCACACUGGGACUGAGACACGGCCCAGACUCCUACGGGAGGCAGCAGUGGGGAAUAUUGCACAAUGGGCGGAAGCCUGAUGCAGCAACGCCGCGUGAGGGAUGACGGCCUUCGGGNNGUAAACCUCUUUUAACAGGGAAGAAGCGAAAGUGACGGUACCUGCAGAAAAAGCGCCGGCUAACUACGUGCCAGCAGCCGCGGUAAUACGUAGGGCGCAAGCGUUAUCCGGAAUUAUUGGGCGUAAAGAGCUCGUAAGCGGUUUGCCGCCUCUGCUGUGAAAUCCCGAGGCUCAACCUCGGGCCUGCAGUGGGUACGGUCAGACUACAGUGCGCUANNGGAGAUUGGAAUUCCUGGUNUACCAAGGGAAUGCGCAGAUAUCAGGAGGAANNCCAUGGUCGAANGCAGAUCU
RNAcentral lists this ribosomal RNA (687 nucleotides) under Microbacterium sp. RNAcentral's name for it is "bacterial SSU rRNA". It matches the Rfam family "Bacterial small subunit ribosomal RNA", at positions 31 to 728 of the family's 1533-position model. Lineage: Bacteria; Bacillati; Actinomycetota; Actinomycetes; Micrococcales; Microbacteriaceae. The record is from RNAcentral.